This 87-nucleotide transfer RNA is filed under the name Candidatus Omnitrophota bacterium. RNAcentral's name for it is "Candidatus Omnitrophica bacterium tRNA-Leu". It matches the Rfam family "tRNA". From Rfam's summary of the family: Transfer RNA (tRNA) molecules are approximately 80 nucleotides in length. The record is from RNAcentral. Lineage: Bacteria; Pseudomonadati; Candidatus Omnitrophota.
GCCGAGGUGGCGAAACUGGCAGACGCACUAGAUUCAGGGUCUAGCGGGGGCAACCUCGUAGGGGUUCAAAUCCCCUCCUCGGCACCA